RNAcentral lists this transfer RNA (72 nucleotides) under Mercenaria mercenaria. RNAcentral's name for it is "transfer RNA alanine (anticodon UGC)". It matches the Rfam family "tRNA". From Rfam's summary of the family: Transfer RNA (tRNA) molecules are approximately 80 nucleotides in length. Their secondary structure includes four short double-helical elements and three loops (D, anti-codon, and T loops). Further hydrogen bonds mediate the characteristic L-shaped molecular structure. tRNAs have two regions of fundamental functional importance: the anti-codon, which is responsible for specific mRNA codon recognition, and the 3' end, to which the tRNAs corresponding amino acid is attached (by aminoacyl-tRNA synthetases). tRNAs cope with the degeneracy of the genetic code in two manners: having more than one tRNA (with a specific anti-codon) for a particular amino acid; and 'wobble' base-pairing, i.e. permitting non-standard base-pairing at the 3rd anti-codon position. The record is from RNAcentral. Lineage: Eukaryota; Metazoa; Mollusca; Bivalvia; Venerida; Veneridae.
GCCCGGUUAGCUCAGUUGGUAGAGCACCUGACUUGCAAGCAGGGGUCGUAGGUUCGAGCCCUACACUGGGUA